CCUACGGGUGGCAGCAGUAGGGAAUUUUCGGCAAUGGGGGGAACCCUGACCGAGCAACGCCGCGUGAACGAAGAAGUUAUUCGUAAUGUAAAGUUCUUUUAACAGGGAAGAAAGAGAAAUUUGACGGUACCUGAAGAAUAAGCUCCGGCUAACUACGUGCCAGCAGCGGAGGUAAUACGUAGGGAGCGAGCGGGUUCCGGAAUUAUUGGGGGAAAAGGUGGCGUAGAUGGCAUAUUAAGACUUCUGUAAAAAUGCUGGGCUAAACCCAGUAGGGAAAAAGAUACUGCAAAGCUAGAGUAUGACAGAGGCAAGUGGAACUACUUGUGUAGCGGUAAAAUGCGUAAAUAUAUGUAAGAACACCAGUGGCGAAGGCGGCUUGCUGGGUCGAUACUGACAUUGAGGCACGAAAGCGUGGGGAGCAAACAGGAUUAGAUACCCUUGUAGUC
Molecule: ribosomal RNA, 446 nt
Filed under: uncultured bacterium
Lineage: Bacteria
Description: partial 16S ribosomal RNA
Rfam family: Bacterial small subunit ribosomal RNA
Source: RNAcentral